GAAUGGGACAACCCGUUACCUUGAAGAGGUAACAUCCAUCAAUGAUGGAGGCUAACGCAGGGAACUGAAACAUCUUAGUACCUGCAGGAAAAGAAAAUAACAAUGAUUCCCCCAGUAGUGGCGAGCGAACGGGGAAGAGCCCAAACCAUUCAUGUUACGGCAUGAAUGGGGUUGUAGGACCGCGUUGUUGCAAGAAAUUUUGCGAGAAGAACGAUCUGGAAAGUUCGGCCACAGACGGUGACAGCCCGGUAUUCGAAGCAAGACGAAGCAUAGCGGUAUCCUGAGUAGCGCGGAGUCGACGCGGCCGGGUCGUGGGAGG
Molecule: ribosomal RNA, 319 nt
Filed under: uncultured Bacteroidales bacterium
Lineage: Bacteria; Pseudomonadati; Bacteroidota; Bacteroidia; Bacteroidales
Description: bacterial LSU rRNA
Rfam family: Bacterial large subunit ribosomal RNA
Source: RNAcentral